GGCUUGGUGGCGUAAUGGUAAUGCACUCCAUAUCCCUAUGUAGUUCACGGUAUUGCUUAUGGGAGGUUCGGAGUUCGAUUCUCUGUCGAGCCA
Mycena latifolia is the source of this 93-nucleotide non-coding RNA. Lineage: Eukaryota; Fungi; Basidiomycota; Agaricomycetes; Agaricales; Mycenaceae. The record is from the annotation of a GenBank genome assembly.